Molecule: long non-coding RNA, 6593 nt
Filed under: Sorghum bicolor (sorghum)
Lineage: Eukaryota; Viridiplantae; Streptophyta; Magnoliopsida; Poales; Poaceae
Description: long non-coding RNA (SBIC_LNC003696)
Rfam family: MIR5565 microRNA precursor family (bases 6383-6491)
Source: RNAcentral
ACAAGCAGCACAAGGAGGCGGUGUCUGUCACUCAGAUGCGUGAACUCUGACGCUGCAUUUUGUUAUCGGCGUGAAAUGCUGCAGCCUGCAGCGAGCGACGUUCAUGGAUUCAUGGACACCGGGAUUUAGAACGUGGUAGCAGGGUUCGGUUCUUGCGUUCCAGACCAUAGUCACCGGAGUUCCCGUCGUUCCCGGAACGACGGAUCGACGAACGACGAACCGGAAAGGAGAACGACGUUUUAGAUGCAGUUUUUACACCGUGGGAGCGAUUUCGUUCCCGCAUUCCCGUCCCGAAUCCCGUCCCGAACGCUCGUUCUCGGAACGUGGAACGCUACAGCGGUGACUAAGUUCCAGACUAGAAGGCGCCUGACGGCCUAUUGAGUCAUUUUUGCGUUGUGCGGUUAGCUUUGAUCGAUCGGCUCCAAUCUUGGCUCCAUCUUGGCUAUUCUAUUAUCGACAGACAGGGAUGCUCAGGCCCCUGAUGCUUCUAUGAAUUUGUCCAAUCUUCAGGCUUGACUCUUGAGAACGUUAUCUCCCGCGCAAAGAUACAGUAAAGUGCAUCUCCUACCUCCAGCAGUCUCUCUCAAGGCCUCAGGAAAAUAAAGGCCUGGAAUGGGCCCCAGACUCCAACGGGCCGUGCAGUCAAAGCGUCAACGCACAGCAUGUCCGCGUGUUUCCUGGCAUGUCUGCGUGUUAAAGCCGAGCCUGCUGCGCACUGGAAAAUAAAUAAGUGAGGCCUUGUUAAAAAAAAUUAAAAAAAAUCAGAUUUUCAGUCACAUCGAAUCUUGUAGCGCAUGUAUGAAGCAUUAAAUAUAAAUAAAAAUAAUAACUAAUUGUACAAUUUGUAUGUAAUUUGCGAGACGGAUCUUUUGAGCCUUGUUAGUUUAUAAUUGGAUAAUAUUUUUAAAAUACAAACAAAAAUGUUACGGUGUCUAUUUUGAAAAAAAAAUAGAACUAAAAAAACCCAAAGCCUAUGCUCGAUGGCACAUAUAUAUGCUCCCAGCAAUUCAAUUGUUCAAGUGUCAGCAUGAACAUAUAUGACAUCCAAGAUCUCGGUAUGCACUUUAAUCAUCAUUGCAGAUUCAUAAUUUGAUCUACAAAAAAUAAUUAUGUUUUGUUCAUCUAAAUGCAUAUCAAAUGGAAAGGAUAUAGAGAGUGAGGCAACAUCGAAAGCAGUUAGCAAUGCUCACAUAGUUGAUGAGGAGAAAAUGCGAUCAACCUCUAACAAAGAAAUCGAUACCCAAGGGGACUUGGAUGGAGACAAAGGAAGCGUCCAUGUUGUUUGCAACGCUGAAAAGCCUUUACUCGACGUUUUUAUGUCAGACACCUGUACUUUAUUAUGUCAUGUUAUGUAUAAGUGUUUUCUGAAUUAUAUACAUGAUCAUAUAUAAUUUGUGUCAUAUGCAACUCUAGAAAAAAAAAUCGUUGUUUGAUUUAUUUUUUUUUCAUACGCAUCUCUGAAAUAAAGCCGUGGCAUUAGCACGCGCACUAUACUAGUAUAAUGUAUAUGGAGGACUUUAUGGAUUAUUGCAUGGAUAAAACUGUCUUUACAAGAUCUCUGUGCGCUCAAAGAAAAGAAAAUAUUUUACACUUUGUACAAAUGAUUCAAACAUCCGUGCUUUCUUUAUGGUGCUGCUCCUCUUCCAAUUUCUCUCCUAUAAUUAAUAGCUCUUUCGGAUUGCAUUGUUGCAUUGUUUCUCUUCUCCCAAUAAAUUUAUAUCUAUGAACCGUUCAUGUGUGUAUUUUCUUUUCAAGAUUUCACUAUUUAUCACAUCAAGUUCUCUUUCAUAUAACACUACAAAAUCCAUGCAGCAACACGCUAUCUAUUCAGUUGAAAACAAAGGUGCAAAUAUUUUACUCUAGUUAGUAUCGACAUGACCAACUAACUGUGUUUUGAACAAAUAAAAUAUAGUUCAUGAAACUUAAUCUUAAGAAUCAGCAUUAGGGAAGAAGGAGAUAAAAUCAAUACCAUGAGGAGAUCCAACAAGGCGCGAUGAGGUGCUGGCGUUGUAUGUGGCAACUCACGGUCUCACGGAAGGGAAGCGGGCAUGGAUGGGGCGAUGACACAAAUGGGAGGCAGCACAGAAUGACGACGCCUUGGAUGAUCUAUGACGCAAACGAGGGAUGACAGCAUGGAUGGUCGGCGGCCGCACGAAAAGAUCGUAGCAACGUGGAUGGCCAACAAAUCCCUUGGGCAGGGCAAGGCGGUGGCGGUGAUAGGGAUUGGGAAAGCUAGAGUGCCGGGAGCAUAACCUUGGGGUGCGGCGGGGCGGAGCGGGGAGGAGAAGGGGUGCCGUGCCCCAAGCGGAGGGUAGCAGUGGGACUAUGAGAGCGUUGUUUCUUUUAGUCCACCAUAUGCCAACGUCAUAGAAAGAUUGCAUAAGCCGCCAAGCAUAGUCGAUUUCACCAUCAUGCGAUGUUACAUCUUUUUAGUAGUAGAGAUAUGGAACAAGGUUUUUAAUGACCAUUUUUGUUUUAUGGAUUAAUAAUUUUAUUUUUCUAGCUAAUGGGAUUCUUUUUUAGCAAGUAAAAUAUGAAACAAUCUUGGCAUAAGAGAAACACAUUUGCCAUUGUUAAUACGGUGCUAGUGUUAAGAAAAUACGUCACAUUUUCGUAAGAGAAGCACCGGUAUGGCACAACCUCAUGGAUGCGAUUCUUCUUUACAGUGGCCAGAAACAUAAAUCCUCAUCUGAGAAUUGAGAUACUUCUGGUACUACAGCCAGCAAAAGUUUCACAUGCAGAAGUCACAAGUGUCUAACCAAUCAAGAGAACUAUACACAAGAAGGAUAUACCCAGUCAACCCGAAGUUUAUAGCCGCCAACCUCGUAGCCAUUGAGCUCAACAAUGGCCCUCUCUCCAUCCUUACGUUUCUCGAACACCAGAACAGCAAACCUCAUACGGGUUUCAGACUUGCAGGAGCAUAUGUCAUUGAUAUACUUUGGCACAUCCCACAUCAGCAACGGUCUAAAUAGGCCGAAGAGCUCCGGAAUGUGCCAUUCCAUGAAUCCUGGCGGCAGAUUGGUCACGCGUAUAAAACGCCGCAAGAACUUGCGCCGAGCCCGAGAGGUAAUUCUAUGUUGUCUAGGACCAGGGGCACAAUCUCCUCCGCAGUCUUUAUGGGCCAAUGAGUCUUUGUGGGCAAAUCGUCCAUACAUGUAGUUGUAAGGACAGAAGCGCUCGCAAUGGCUUAACAUUCCACAAUUGUAACAAUUCAUUUGAGCUGGAGACCUCGCGUAGGCCAUCCUGGUAAACCAAACCGUGUCACGCGGGUCUGUUGUCAACCACAAACACAAAGAUAUAAAUUAGACUUCAUGUUAAAAAAAUGCAUAGUCCAUGGAGUUAAACAAAAAUGAAAUUUUGUUUUCGAUACUGCCCCUAUUUUCUUUUGUUUUUUUAUAUUUCUUUUAAUAUUUUGAUUUUGCUUUUGUUCACUGAUCACACUGGAAUCGACAAUUUCGCAUUGAGCAUCCACUAAAAAAAAGGUAAAAAUACAACGAUAUAGAAAUUAAGGUUUACUCCAAAGGAGCAUACAUUAGUAAAACCAUCCAAAAAAACAUCCAAAAGCUGAAUAUGUAAAAUCUCACUUGAAGACUGGCAAUUGUUUGUGUAAUUAUACAGAUUUAAGAGCAAAGUUAAAAUAGCGGGCUAUUGAAAAUAGCGAUAACUUUUUCUCAACAACUACACAGCUAUAGCAUUGCUAUAGCGGUGUUAUGACAGAUAGCAUUUUUAUAAAAAAAGAAAUACAUGAAAAAACGAGUAAUUGAUGAAAAAGAUAUGGUAAAUAUGAAUUUCGAUGAAUGAAAAUAUGUUUUAAUGAGUCUAGGUAAUAUUACUAAAUACCAAUAUGACAGUACAACAUGGUUGGCCAAAAUACCAAAUUAGUUGCAAAUAAAAAAUGAUAAUCUAGUUUAAGAUGAGUCACACUGAGAAGAUUUGUCGUAGCGGUGCUACAGCGUGUAAUAGCGGAGAAACUUAUCAUAGCAAAUGCAACUUAGCGGCACUAUAGCACGUAAUAGUGGUGAAAGUUUUGAUAGCGGAAAAAAUACAAAUAGCUUAGCGGUAAGCCUGUCUAGCAGCUAUAACAUCGUUAUAGCCCGCUAUUUUAUUUCUUUGUUUAAGAGAAACUAUUUUUUUUAAACAAGAUUUAAGAGAAACUGUGCGAAACGAUUACUAAUAAUAAGAAACUAAGAGGAGAGAACACACCUUCCACUUCAAAUUUGAACGUGUCCUGGAUUUUUCCUGCAAGCUGGUUUUUCGACAUCUUAUUUCUCCUCUCCGUAUUCAACUUGUUGCCUCUCUAUUCCACCGUCCCACGGUGAAGGACAUGAUCACCCUCCUUUCUCCUCCUCUCUUCCCCUGCGGUGCUGAAGUUGGAGCGGCGACAGGUCCUCUCUUCACCUGCGGUGCUGAAAGGCCGGAGCGAGACAGGUCAGAAAAACCUAGGCGGGCGGCGUCGGGACGACCAGGAGUCCCUCCAGGAAUUAUAUGGCAGCGGUGGGGCGACGGCGCUAGCGAGUAGAGAGUAGGAAUCCCUAUCCAGCAGGCCCGUUUCGAGGCCCGGUCCGCUCGGCAGGCCUGGGAAAGAAAGCUCCUCGGCCCAGAGCCCCAAAUCACCCGCGUCAUCAUAACUAGUUAACUAGUUCUAGUUGAUGCUAAAAGGUAUGAUGCCUUGACAGUAGUUACCACAAUAAAAUUUUACGUAUAUUACAACAUGCUCCACUUAUGAUGCUAAAAGUAAUUCUGGAUUUUUUAUAUAUAGUUGUUAACUUUUUAUUAUAUAUGUUAUGUCUAUAUUUUCGAACGGAUGGAGCAUACACCAAGGUCAGCGAUUACAAGACGCAGGCGAUGAAGCCAUGAAGGCCACAAUUUUGUUAGCGGUGAACCUUCUCGUGGCGCCACUGGUGUCACCACCUGAAAUCGCAGAAAAAAUUAAGGCUUAAAAAAAAGGUGACAUGUUGAAGAAGAGACAUGUUCCUCAAUUUUCAUAAGAAUAUCAAACUUCACGAACAUGCAUAUUAGAUAUACCAUGAGGUUUGUAAGAAGGCAAGCUGAUACGCCUAGGACAAGAGCUGCUCUUUUCUACCGUCUCAUAUUCUCUGUCAUUUUUCUCCAUUUUUGCAGUCGAGAGGCUGAAAGAAAUAAGCACAACCUGAGUUGCCGUAACGAUCCUCGCUCACAGAUGAACAAAGGAGACGCUCCAAAAGAGGUUCUGAUAGUGGCAACCAGGUCAGUCACCAGAUACUUGCCGCCAUCAUCUGCGCCCACGCUGAUGAUCUUGCUUGCCAUCAUAGCCUGACGCACGACGCGUAGUCAGCAACACUAUCAUCAGUAUUCAUCAGCUAAAAUGUGCCAAACAAGAUGUGAACAAAACGCUAGUCCUCUCCGUAUCAGUCAGAUCAGAAGUGCCAUGAGUGUCCAUGAAUCUGAAUUGCUGCGUUGCUUACUGUAAUAAUGCUAGCAGUCUAGCAGACCUUUGCCAUGUCGAAAUCUGGGUUGUUGCAGCAAGUUGGUCCGCCCCCUUGGGCAUAAUUUGGCCAGAGCCCGUCUGUGAAAGCAAAAAAAUGUGUGAUGGAACGGCGGAGCAUGCAGAGCACUCUGCAAUUCUACUAGUGGUCGACGAAAGAAGAGAAGACACUUACGAAUUGAGAACCAUCCGAUAGAGGGAUCAGAGCUGCCGAAUUGCGAAGAAGAACACAGCAAACAUGCAUUUCGAUCAGUGCCCUGGAUGAUGAAUUUGUUGGUGCACGAGGUACUGGUUUCCGAAGACACAGCAAGUGUACCGACCGGCAGCAAGCAUUGGAUGAGCAGCAUGGGCCGGCCGCCGCCGGCGCUGCUCCGUCUUAUUUGAAAAUUAUUGUCCAAUUAUAGACUAAUUAGGCUUAAAAGAUUCGUCUCGCAAAUUACUCUUUAUCUAUGCUUUUAGUUUCGUAAAUAGUCUAUAUUUAACACUUUAUACAUGUGUCCAAACAUUCGAUGUGACAAACGGUAAACUUUACCGAGAGCAACCAACUGUCACUCAGAUGCGUGAACUCUGACGCUGCAUUUUGUUAUCGGCGUGAAAUGCUGCAGCCUGCAGCGAGCGACGUUCAUGGAUUCAUGGAGGAGAGAGCUCCACCGGGAUUUAGAACGUGGUAGCAGGGUUCGGUUCUUGCGUUCCAGACUAAAGGCUCCUGACGGCCUGAGUCAUUUUUGCGUUGUGCGGUUAGCUUUGAUUGAUCAGCUCCAAUCCGAUCAUCGGUUAAGUUCUGCUCGCUCCAUCUUGGCUAUUCUAUUCUCGACAGACAGGGAUGCUCAGGCCCCUGAUGCUUGUAUGAACUUCUCCAAUCUUCAGGCUUGAGAACGUUAUCUCCCGCGCAAAGAUACAGUAAGGCCUUGUUGGGAUGUAUUCGUAUUCACAUCAAUCCACAUGUGUUGAGGUGGAUUGGAGUAGAACUUAAACUAAAUUUCAUCCCAAUCUACACCAAUACACAUGGAUUGAAGUGAAUACGACAACAUCCAAACAAGGCCUAAAGUGCAUCUCCUACCUCCAGCAGUCUCUCUCAAGGCCUCAGGAAAAUAAAGGCCUGGAAUGGGCCCCAGACUCCAACGGGCCG